Glycine soja is the source of this 556-nucleotide long non-coding RNA. RefSeq lists it as uncharacterized. The record is from RefSeq and is a predicted model, not a curated record. Lineage: Eukaryota; Viridiplantae; Streptophyta; Magnoliopsida; Fabales; Fabaceae. The transcript has 3 exons.
GCCUCUUGGACACUGGAUGAUCCACCAAGAACUGUGACUAUGACAUUGCAUCAAGGAUCCUCUAUGACGAGCAUAGAUUUCCAUCCUUCUCAUCAUACCUUACUUAUUGUUAUUGUUUAUCAUGGUUUUUUCAUGUCUAAUAUCUUGGUUACCAAAAUACCAACAAAGCAUAACUUGAUUUUUUUCUUCUAACGAUAUAUAUUUCCAAUGAAUAGCUGGUUCAAAUAAUGGAGAAACUAGCCUCUGGGAACUCAGUUUGCGAGAAAAGUUGGUUUCAAAGCCAUUCAAGAUAUGGGAUGUGUCUGCAUGCUCAUUACCAUUUCAGGCUGCUGCAUGAGCCCUGAUGGAAGUUUUGUGGGACCUGAAGGUUGAUCCAAAGGAUGAGUUCCUGUCAUUACUAAGAGCAACAGUGAAGUGCUUGACCCGUCCGGAGAAGUACUUUGAGAAGGUUAUCGGUUUAGAGAUUAAUUAUUAUCAAGAUGUGGGUGUUGUAGGUUUACAUUGAAGAAAAAAGAUUGUGAUGAUGCACUAUUUAUAAAUUUUAUUUUUUUUGUUA